AACGAACGCUGGCGGCAUGCCUAACACAUGCAAGUCGAACGAGACCUUCGGGUCUAGUGGCGCACGGGUGCGUAACGCGUGGGAACCUGCCCUUAGGUUCGGAAUAACUCCCCGAAAGGGGUGCUAAUACCGGAUAAUGUCUUCGGACCAAAGAUUUAUCGCCUUUGGAUGGGCCGGCGUUGGAUUAGCUAGUUGGUAUGGUAAAAGCCUACCACGGCGACGAUCCAUAGCUGGUCUGAGAGGAUGAUCAGCCACACUGGGACUGAGACACGGCCCAGACUCCUACGGGAGGCAGCAGUGGGGAAUAUUGGAAAAUGGGGGAAAGCCUGAUCCAGCAAUGCCGCGUGAGUGAUGAAGGCCUUAGGGUUGUAAAGCUCUUUUACCCGGGAUGAUAAUGACAGUACCGGGAGAAUAAGCUCCGGCUAACUCCGUG
Molecule: ribosomal RNA, 433 nt
Filed under: uncultured bacterium
Lineage: Bacteria
Description: partial 16S ribosomal RNA
Rfam family: Bacterial small subunit ribosomal RNA
Source: RNAcentral